GUGGGGAAUAUUGGACAAUGGGCGCAAGCCUGAUCCAGCCAUGCCGCGUGAGUGAUGAAGGUCUUAGGAUUGUAAAGCUCUUUCGGCGGGGACGAUAAUGACGGUACCCGCAGAAGAAGCCCCGGCUAACUUCGUGCCAGCAGCCGCGGUAAUACGAAGGGGGCUAGCGUUGUUCGGAAUUACUGGGCGUAAAGCGCACGUAGGCGGACAUUUAAGUCAGGGGUGAAAUCCCGGGGCUCAACCCCGGAACUGCCUUUGAUACUGGGUGUCUUGAGUGUGGAAGAGGUGAGUGGAAUUGCGAGUGUAGAGGUGAAAUUCGUAGAUAUUCGCAGGAACACCGGUGGCGAAGGCGGCUCACUGGUCCACAACUGACGCUGAGGUGCGAAAGCGUGGGGAGCAAACAGG
RNAcentral lists this ribosomal RNA (405 nucleotides) under uncultured Aureimonas sp. RNAcentral describes it as "bacterial SSU rRNA". It matches the Rfam family "Bacterial small subunit ribosomal RNA", at positions 354 to 776 of the family's 1533-position model. The record is from RNAcentral. Lineage: Bacteria; Pseudomonadati; Pseudomonadota; Alphaproteobacteria; Hyphomicrobiales; Aurantimonadaceae.